This 372-nucleotide ribosomal RNA is filed under the name uncultured organism. Its description in RNAcentral is "bacterial SSU rRNA". It matches the Rfam family "Bacterial small subunit ribosomal RNA", at positions 526 to 896 of the family's 1533-position model. The record is from RNAcentral.
CAGAGGGUGCAAGCGUUGUUCGGAAUUAUUGGGCGUAAAGCGCGUGUAGGCGGCUUGUUAAGUCGGGUGUGAAAGCCCUCAGCUCAACUGAGGAAGGGCGCCCGAAACUGGCGAGCUUGAGUGUCGGAGAGGAUGGCGGAAUACCCCAAGUAGAGGUGAAAUUCGUAGAUAUGGGGUGGAACACCGGUGGCGAAGGCGGCCAUCUGGACGACAACUGACGCUGAGACGCGAAAGCGUGGGGAGCAAACAGGAUUAGAUACCCUGGUAGUCCACGCCGUAAACGAUGAGAACUAGGUGUCGUGUGUGUUGACCCCUGCGGUGCCGUAGCUAACGCAUUAAGUUCUCCGCCUGGGAAGUACGGUCGCAAGACUA